Molecule: ribosomal RNA, 482 nt
Filed under: uncultured bacterium
Lineage: Bacteria
Description: partial 16S ribosomal RNA
Rfam family: Bacterial small subunit ribosomal RNA
Source: RNAcentral
AUUGAACGCUGGCGGCAUGCUUUACACAUGCAAGUCGAACGGUAACAGGCCGCAAGGUGCUGACGAGUGGCGAACGGGUGAGUAAUGCAUCGGAACGUGCCCAGUCGUGGGGGAUAACUACUUGAAAGAGUAGCUAAUACCGCAUACGAUCUAUGGAUGAAAGCGGGGGACCGUAAGGCCUCGCGCGAUUGGAGCGGCCGAUGUCAGAUUAGGUAGUUGGUGGGGUAAAGGCUCACCAAGCCAACGAUCUGUAGCUGGUCUGAGAGGACGACCAGCCACACUGGAACUGAGACACGGCCCAGACUCCUACGGGAGGCAGCAGUGGGGAAUUUUGGACAAUGGGCGCAAGCCUGAUCCAGCAAUGCCGCGUGCAGGAAGAAGGCCUUCGGGUUGUAAACUGCUUUUGUACGGAACGAAACGGCUCUGGUUAAUACCCGGGGCUAAUGACGGUACCGUAAGAAUAAGCACCGGCUAACUACGUG